This is a long non-coding RNA of Nomascus leucogenys (northern white-cheeked gibbon), 742 nucleotides long. RefSeq lists it as uncharacterized. The record is from RefSeq and is a predicted model, not a curated record. The transcript is spliced from 3 exons. NCBI's taxonomy places the organism in Eukaryota, Metazoa, Chordata, Mammalia, Primates, Hylobatidae.
CUCCAUCUCAAAAAAAAAAAAAAAAAAAAACAGACAGGAAGCAGAGAUGGGAUUUUCUCACCUACCUACAGCCCCUUCUUCCCAGUCAAACAGGACUCAGCCAGGGGCCCAUGUCUGCGGGCCACAGGAGGAGGCAGAAGAAGCAAAAGCAUUUCGUCAUUCCACAGUGGACACGUGGCAAAGACACCCUCUCUCCCUCAGAGUUUAUUGUUUGCAUCUCCUACCUUAACACAGGAUAGAAAUGUACUAUAAAUAUAGUAUACAGAUCACUAUACUGUAAAUGAAGUUGAGCCUCCCUCUUUUAUAAUCUUUCAUCUUAUACAGCACCCCUCCUGCAAUGUUUUUUUGUUGUUCCUGUUGUUUAAUGAAAAGGAUAAUUUGACAACAUGGAAAUCCCACGACUUCCAGUGUGUUUAUCCAGUCAUGUGUUGAUGGAUGUUUAGGUGGUUUUCACCUUUUGGCUAUUGUGAACAGCACUGCAAUGAACAUUCAGGUACCAGUUAUAUUUGAACACUGGUUUCUAAUUCUUUUGGGUAUAUGUCUGUGGGUUGGAUUAUGGGUCAUGUGGCAAUUUUAUGUUGGACUUUUUGAGACACCUUGGAGUUUUGCUUUUGCUUGGUAGUUGCUGCCUGGAGAUGACUGCAGUGUUGAGUCUUUGGCCCCAGGGCAUGGACCACCCUGAGGAGGGAGGGAGGAUUGGGGAGAAAGCCAGGAGGACCUCAGCCGGGCGCGGUGGCUCAUG